Molecule: ribosomal RNA, 434 nt
Filed under: uncultured Blautia sp.
Lineage: Bacteria; Bacillati; Bacillota; Clostridia; Lachnospirales; Lachnospiraceae
Description: partial 16S ribosomal RNA
Rfam family: Bacterial small subunit ribosomal RNA
Source: RNAcentral
ACGGAAGGCAGCAGUGGGGAAUAUUGCACAAUGGGCGCAAGCCUGAUGCAGCGACGCCGCGUGAGCGAAGAAGUAUUUCGGUAUGUAAAGCUCUAUCAGCAGGGAAGAAAAUGACGGUACCUGACUAAGAAGCCCCGGCUAACUACGUGCCAGCAGCCGCGGUAAUACGUAGGGGGCAAGCGUUAUCCGGAUUUACUGGGUGUAAAGGGAGCGUAGACGGCGCUGCAAGUCAGAUGUGAAAGGCUGGGGCUUAACCCCGGGACUGCAUUUGAAACUGCAGUGCUCGAGUGCCGGAGAGGUAAGCGGAAUUCCUAGUGUAGCGGUGAAAUGCGUAGAUAUUAGGAGGAACACCAGUGGCGAAGGCGGCUUGCUGGACGGUAACUGACGUUGAGGCUCGAAAGCGUGGGGAGCAAACAGGAUUAGAUACCCUGGUA